UCCGUAGGCGGUGCGGCAAGUCGGGAGUGAAAUCUCUGGGCUUAACUCAGAGGCUGCUUCCGAAACUGCCGUGCUCGAGUGUGAGAGAGGCGAGUGGAAUUGCGGGUGUAGCGGUGAAAUGCGUAGAUAUCCGCAGGAACAUCCGAGGCGAAAGCGGUUCGCUGGAUCACAACUGACGCUGAGGGACGAAAGCUAGGGGAGCAAACAGGAUUAGAUACCCUGGUAGUCCUAGCCCUAAACCAUCAGGACUUGGGGUUUGCCCUGUACGGGGCAAGUCCCGGAGCUAACGCGUUAAGUCCUGCGCCUGGGGAGUACGGUCGCAGGGCUGAA
Molecule: ribosomal RNA, 330 nt
Filed under: uncultured bacterium
Lineage: Bacteria
Description: bacterial SSU rRNA
Rfam family: Bacterial small subunit ribosomal RNA
Source: RNAcentral